Molecule: long non-coding RNA, 2981 nt
Filed under: Marmota monax (woodchuck)
Lineage: Eukaryota; Metazoa; Chordata; Mammalia; Rodentia; Sciuridae
Source: RNAcentral
UAAUGGUGUACUUUAUAAAGUUAUUUUAUGAAAUUCAUUUCUUUUCAACUUUAUUCUUAGAACAUUUAAAUUAUACAAUACUGAAUAGAUCUGUUUAUUGGAUUAUAUUUUUAUGACUAGGAUAAAUCAACUUUUAAAUACUAAAUUUUAAUAACUAUUUUUAAAUUCUGCAAUUUAGAAUAAUCUCCUUUUUGUUACUAUUUCAUUUCUUUAAAGUUCUGUUUUUAACUUCUUGUUUUUUUUGGGGGGGGUACCAGAGAUUGAACUCAGGCACUCAACCACUGAGCUUCAUCCCCAGCCCUAUUUUGUAUUUUAUUUAGAGAUAGGGUCUCACUGAGUUGCUUAGUGCCUCACCAUUGCUGAGGCUGGCUUUAAACUUGUGAUCCUCCUAUCUCAGCCUCCCGAUCUGCUGGGAUUAUAUGCAUGCACCACCGUGCCCAGCUAACUUCUUAUUUUUGAAAUAAAUUCAACUUUGUGGGAUAUCUUAAUGUCUUCUUUUAGUUCAGUCUUCAUGAAACCAGAAUUUGUAUAAGUUUGAAAGAUAUUCAUAUGCUGGUAUAUUUGAGGUGAUUGUGUGUGUGUGUGUUAAACUGUCAGGAGAGGAAAAUGUGAGGCAGUAAGGCAAUUUUUAUAAACUUUUUUCACCCUCAUGGAAUUAUAUAAACAUUUUCAUGUCUAAAAAUAAAGUUGAUGAAAUUAGCCAACAACAAGCAGAAGGUCAUGACUAUAAUUCAGUCUACUAUAGCUAUUAUUAUUAUGGCAUUGUACAUAUGGUUCCCUUGCAUGGCUCAUUUUUUCUAAUACCUACCCCUUUUCUUUCAAUUCUGUACCUCUACAUUUAUCUCACCAGAAUGAAUGAAUGGGUCUCUUGUUCUUGUUUCAAGGAAGGUAUUACAGAGUUUGGGAGCAAGCUUUGCCUAUAAAGUAACCUGUUGGGUUUCUAGAAAACAUAACAGGAUAUAUUUUUCCUUGGCCUGGUCUUACCCAUGCAGGUACUCCUUUGGAAACCAACUGACUCUUCUACAGUUGUGUGCAUGAGACAUCUAGGGGUUAGACUUCUGAAGCUAAUUUUUAUGCAACUGCCAAAAAUUUCCAAAUUUAGUUGAAAAUUUCACUCCUACCAUAAUCAUCUUGGCUCAGGUCUUAAGAUUUUCUACUUAUUUGAUUCCUUUGCUGUCCACUCCCAGGAACCUUUCCACUACUUAUUUUAAAAAGCCAAGUAGAGGUGACACACACCCAUAAUCCCAGCCCUCAGGAGGCUUAGGCAGGAGCAUCAAAAGUUCAAGGCCAGCCUCAGUAACUUAGUGAGACCCUGUCUCAAAUUUAAAAAUUAAGGACUAGGGAUGUAGCACCCCUGGGUUAAAUCCUGAGUACCAAAGUGUUAGAGUCUGUAAACAAGUCAGGAUGGCGCCUGGCAAAUGUUAGAGUCUGUAAACAAAAUGUAAACAUUUUGCCAGAGGGAGUGGUUUGUGAAGUAACUGCCAGCGAGCGGUUAAGUGUGGAGAGUCCUUAUUGGUUGACUGCUGUAUCGAGUUUAUGCUAAUUAAGAUAAGUUGUGUAAAAUGUAUAAAUACCUCUGUUGUCCUAUAAUAAACGGCUCCCAUUCCUGCUGUAUCAAUGUACACAAGUUGUUCGUCACCCCCCGGUUAUUUUGCUGCAGCCGGACUGCGGCACCAAAGGAAAAAGGAAUUUUUUAAAAAUCAGGUAGAAAGAAAAGCCCUUUCAAAAAUGAGGGAGAAGCUGGGUGUGGUAGCACAGGGGCUAAGGGGGCUGAGGCAGGAGGAUCCCAAGUUCAAAGCCAGCCUCAGCAACUUAGAGAGGCCCUAAGAAACUCAGUGAGAUCCUGUCUCUAAAAUAAAAUACAAAACAGGGCUGGGAAUGUGGCUCAGUGUUUGAGUGCGCCUGAGUUCAAUCCCUGGUACCAAAAAAAGGGCGGGGGGAGAUUAGCUAUUUUAGUCAGCUUUUUCUCAGCUGUGACCAAAGGACCUAAGAAGAACAGUUUUAGAGGGGGGAAAAGUUUAUUUGGGGGUUCACAAUUUCAGAGAUCUCAGUCCAUAGACCACUGGCUCCAUUUCUCAGGGCUUAAGUGAAACAGAACAUCACAGCAGAAGAAUGUGGUAGAGGGAAGCAACUCAAGACAUCACCACAGGAAGCAGGGAGAGAAAGAGCUUCGCUAAACAAGGACAAAUGUUGACCCCAGAGGUAUGCCCUAAAUGACCUACCUCCUCCAGCCAUACCCUACCUGCCUACAGUUACCACCCACUUAAUUCCUAUCAGAGGAUGAACACACUGAUUAGGUUAAGAUGUUCUUAACCCAAUCAUUUUACCUCUAAGCCUUCCUGCAUUGUCUCACACAUGAGUUUUUUGGGAACACCUAAUAUCGAAACCAUAAUAUUAGCUAACACAGAGCACCCUAUAAUAAUGCUUGUACAUCCCUUUUAAAACUUUCCAAAAUAACUUUCAUAUCUUUAAGUUUUUAUAUUUAUUUCAAACUUAAGGUAAACAAGAAGACAGGGAAUAACCCCAUUUAAGAGGGAAAUUAUUGAGGAAAUAGGAAAGUUUAAAAAAAAACUGUCUAAUAUCACUGAUGCAGCCUGUAUGUAGCAGUCAGAACAGAGCUGUGCUUUCUCCUGGACUCUGUCAAUAUCAGUGGAUGCAAUUAACAGCCCAUACCUCCUAGCAAAAAUUGAGGGAACAUCUUUUUUGACACAGUUUGGUUUUAAAAUUCCUCCAUAGUGCAAACUUGAUUAAAAAGAUGUUUCUGAGACAUUAUAGGAAUUAUAACUUUUCUGUUCAUAGACAAUUUUUGCUUCUAUUUAAUUUCCCCUAUUAAAGUGUUUAAAUGAAUCCAGAGCUAAUUUGUAUUUAGUUCUGUUUUGUUGUAAAAUACCUGGAAAUCCAAAAAAAGGAGCCCCUUUUCCUUUGAAAAUGGAUGUCUAUCUUUUAUAAUAAAGCUUCACAGAUCCUUAAAGUCAUUGUCC